UACGUAGGGGGCAAGCGUUGUCCGGAUUUAUUGGGCGUAAAGAGCGUGUAGGCGGCCAUGUAGGUCCGUUGUGAAAACUCGAGGCUCAACCUCGAGACGCCGAUGGAAACCAUGUGGCUAGAGUCCGGAAGAGGAGAGUGGAAUUCCCGGUGUAGCGGUGAAAUGCGCAGAUAUCGGGAAGAACACCCGUGGCGAAGGCGGCUCUCUGGGACGGUACUGACGCUGAGACGCGAAAGCGUGGGGAGCAAACAGG
Molecule: ribosomal RNA, 253 nt
Filed under: uncultured bacterium
Lineage: Bacteria
Description: partial 16S ribosomal RNA
Rfam family: Bacterial small subunit ribosomal RNA
Source: RNAcentral